GAGACGGAUGGGAUUCGAAGAUACGGGAUGGGAGGAGACGGGAUGCGAAAAGGACGGGCUGGGGCCCUCCUGCCUUGCCGGACAAGACUGCUCUGAACUGGGGCUAAAGAGGGUCCCAAGCCCAGGCCCAUGAAUCAUGCUCACCUGCGGGCAGCCGUCGGGCCGCUCUCCCCGGGCAACAGCUACCGCCGCCGGCGGAACUACAGCGGGGCCGGGACCGGAGCCUGGGCCGGGGCCGCGGCGUUGCCCAGCCGGGGGUGUCCCGGGCUCAGAGGAGCUGAGCGAGGGGAAAUCCAGAGUCUUGUUGUCGAAGGCAUCCUCCACGCUGCAGAACAUCCCCCCGCGCUUCUGCCGCGGCCGCGGGCUGCCCGCGCCCAGCCCCGCGAAGCAGGCGGGCAGAGCCUCCUCCCGCGGCACCGACAUGGGCUCGGGGGGGUCCCUGGGUAGCCCCCACCGCCACCCCCCCGGUGCCGGGCCCGGUGCUCUCUUCAGCCGUCUGGCCCUGGGGAGCGCGACAAAGUGCUCUAAAAGCGGGGCAGGAACCCCCCGCCCCGGCCCCGCUGCCACCGGACAGUCACCGAGCAGCCUGGGAAAGGCACCGGCAACGCGGGCUCGGCCGCUCCUCCCGCUCCCCACCCCGCCCCACCGGGGCUGCGGGGCCGGCGCUGGGUCUGGGGGAGGGUUCUGUCCCCCCAGGCGAAGUGUCACUGCCUGGCACCGUCACAGCAUCGCUCCCGACAGCGCGCCCGCUGCGCAUCGCAGGGCGCCGAGUGGCCUCGAUGCCAGUGGCGGCUGAAGGAGAGGUUCCAGGCAAACCUUCUGGUGGCCUUGCAGUGCUUAGAGGGGAUGAGAAGAAAGCUAGGGACAGGCUUUUGAGCAGAGACUUUCACACUAGAUGGAAGGAAGAAAUAUUUGACACUGAGGGUGAUAAGAGCCUGGCUCAGGUCGCCCAGAGAGGUGGGAGGUGUCCCAUGCCUGAAACCGCUGCGGGUCAGGUUAUCUGGGGCUGUGAGCAACCUGCCCUAGUUGCAGACAUACCUGCUGAUGGCAGGAGGGUCGGAGUGGAUGACCUUUAAAGGUCACUCCCCACCCAAACCACUCUCUGACUCCACGAUUCUCUAAUUCAUCAGCAGAACAUCCUUCCAAGGAGAACUCAUCCCCCCACCUCUGUUUUCAAACUUGGAUUCAAGUGGGCUUGAUCCCAGCAGUAGCUGAGCAGUGUGAGAAGGGGAAAAGCUCAGCUCAGCAGGAGGUCCUGCAUCUCCAAGAGUCUUUGUUACUCACCAUUUCAUCCAAGUUUUGAGCACCUGGGAACAUGCUCCAGUGGCCAAGGUGGUGCUGGGUUGAUGGUUGGACUUGAUGAUCUUAGGAGUCUUUUCCAACCAAAACAACUAUGAUUCUAACCCUGGGAAAGAACCAACCCAGCUGCUCUACAACCCGGGGAAAGAACCAACCCAGCUGCUCUGCAACCCGGGCAAAGAACCAACCCAGCUGCUCUGCAACCCGGGGAAAGAACCAACCCAGCUGCUCUGCAACCUGGGGAAAGAACCAACCCAGCUGCUCUGCAACCUGGGGAAAGAACCAACCCAGCUGCUCUGCAAUCCGGGGAGAGAACCAACCCAGCUGCUCUGCAACCCGGGCAAAGAACCAACCCAGCUGCUCUGCAAUCCGGGGAGAGAACCAACCCAGCUGCUCUGCAACCUGGGGAAAGAACCAACCCAGCUGCUCUGCAACCUGGGGAAAGAACCAACCCAGCUGCUCUGCAACCUGGGGAAAGAACCAACCCAGCUGCUCUGCAACCCGGGGAGAGAACCAACUCAGCUGCUCUGCAACCCGGGGAGAGAACCAACCCAGCUGCUCUGCAACCUGGGGAGAGAACCAACCCAACUUCUCUGCAACCCGGGGAGAGAACCAAGCCAACUCCUCUGAUAUGAAGGGCUUAAAAGGUCUCUUUUUAUUAAAAGCUGACAAUACUGUAGGUACUUUACAAAUGAAUAGAAAGUCUCUUGCUAUAUAUUAUAUGAAUCACCAUACAAAAAUAUCUGUAAAAUUCUGUAACUGCUCAGCCCAGCCCCUCUGUGGGGCUGACCAGUCCCCUUCCAGCACUGAACCCAGCACAGAGCAGUCAGGGCAGGGUCGCUGGGGUUCUCCAAGAGGCCACGGUCACGGCCUGCCAGCCCAAGGGGGACAAACAUGGUCUCUGGGUAGGGGUUUGCAUAAGGUGACGGCGGCUCCUCUGCCAAAUAGGUAGGUCCAGGGUCUAUCACA
Molecule: long non-coding RNA, 2268 nt
Organism: Pogoniulus pusillus (Red-fronted tinkerbird)
Lineage: Eukaryota; Metazoa; Chordata; Aves; Piciformes; Lybiidae
Exons: 2
Source: RefSeq, a predicted model, not a curated record